This is a long non-coding RNA of Symsagittifera roscoffensis, 728 nucleotides long. RefSeq lists it as uncharacterized. Lineage: Eukaryota; Metazoa; Xenacoelomorpha; Acoela; Convolutidae. The record is from RefSeq and is a predicted model, not a curated record. The transcript has 3 exons.
CCAUCCUGAAUCCAAAUCAUUCGAUUUGUCGUUAUUGAGUCAAAGUAAUAACUUUUAGGGCGUUUUGUUUACAAACUCAAGGUCUCUUGAAUGUUUUGAACUGUCGUCGUUAAACUCCGCUGAUGACACUAUUAUAACAAACUUAAAGGUUUAAUGCUUUUUAGAUUGCUGUUUAUUAUCCUGGCGUUUCCAUCGUUUUUUGAAAUUUAAAAGACAUGAAUGUUUCCUUCAUUUUAGCAUUAGCAUUUCAACUGCAGCUGCUUUGUUUUGAUUUUUUAUCAUCAUUAUCCCUUCCUGGGUAUGACUCAAAAGUUGAUAAAAAACAGACUUCAGAAGUGUUGAACGCAAUUAUCAACGGGAUCAAUUCGCCGCCUCACCCGUUUUUUGUCACGCUUCAUAUCCUGGACUCUGUCAAGGGACUUUUCUGUGGGGGGACUUUAAUUGCAAACCAAUGGGUUCUAGCCUCGGCCAACUGCGUGAACAAAACUACAGUGGAUAACGUGUUUGUGGAAGUUGGCGAUUACAGUGCUGAAUCUGAACAAAGAUGCUUAGAACAAGUCAACGUCAAAAGAAUCUUCGUGCACCCUAGAUAUCACUACGAAGAAAAACCGAGGAAUAACUUGGCUCUACUUAAACUAGAGAAAAAUACCGAAAGAUCUUUACUUUCACUGUGCACUAAAAAACCUGAAGAUGGAACGCUUUUAGCAACCGUUGGACUCGGUUCAAUU